This 274-nucleotide ribosomal RNA is filed under the name uncultured bacterium. Its description in RNAcentral is "partial 16S ribosomal RNA". It matches the Rfam family "Bacterial small subunit ribosomal RNA", at positions 523 to 796 of the family's 1533-position model. The record is from RNAcentral.
AUACGGGGGGAGCAAGCGUUGUUCGGAAUUACUGGGCGUAAAGGUCGUGUAGGCGGCCUUGUAAGUCGGGGGUGAAAUCCACUGGCUCAACCAGUGGCGUGCCUUCGAAACUGCUCGGCUUGAGUACGGCAGAGGGAAGCGGAAUUCCAGGUGUAGCGGUGAAAUGCGUAGAUAUCUGGAAGAACACCGGUGGCGAAGGCGGCUUCCUGGGCCUGUACUGACGCUGAUGCGCGAAAGCCAGGGGAGCAAACGGGAUUAGAAACCCCAGUAGUCC